GUGCUGACUUCGGCAGCAUAUAUACUGAAACUGGAAUGAUAUCGAAAACAUUAUCAUGUCCCCUGCGCAAGGAUGACAUGCAAAUUAUUGAAGCACUUCAUAUUUUU
This 107-nucleotide small nuclear RNA is filed under the name Castor canadensis (American beaver). Lineage: Eukaryota; Metazoa; Chordata; Mammalia; Rodentia; Castoridae. The record is from RNAcentral.